RNAcentral lists this signal recognition particle RNA (99 nucleotides) under Deltaproteobacteria bacterium. RNAcentral describes it as "signal recognition particle sRNA small type". It matches the Rfam family "Bacterial small signal recognition particle RNA". From Rfam's summary of the family: The signal recognition particle (SRP) is a universally conserved ribonucleoprotein involved in the co-translational targeting of proteins to membranes. Archaeal SRP consists of a 7S RNA and homologues of the eukaryotic SRP19 and SRP54 proteins. The record is from RNAcentral. Lineage: Bacteria; Pseudomonadati; Myxococcota; Myxococcia.
CGCAGGGUCCCGCUCGAUCACGAUCUCCGUGAACUCCGUCAGAUCCGGAAGGAAGCAGCGGUAACGGGGCCUCGGUUGCGAGCGGAUCACCCUGCGAUC